GAUGAACGCUGGCGGCGUGCCUAAUACAUGCAAGUCGAGCGAACGGACGAGAAGCUUGCUUCUCUUAUGUUAGCGGCGGACGGGUGAGUAACACGUGGAUAACCUACCUAUAAGACUGGGAUAACUUCGGGAAACCGGAGCUAAUACCGGAUAAUAUUUUGAACCGCAUGGUUCAAAAGUGAAAGACGGUCUUGCUGUCACUUAUAGAUGGAUCCGCGCUGCAUUAGCUAGUUGGUAAGGUAACGGCUUACCAAGGCAACGAUGCAUAUCCGACCUGAGAGGGUGAUCGGCCACACUGGAACUGAGACACGGUCCAGACUCCUACGGGAGGCAGCAGUAGGGAAUCUUCCGCAAUGGGCGAAAGCCUGACGGAGCAACGGCGCGUGAGUGAUGAAGGUCUUCGGAUCGUAAAACUCUGUUAUUAGGGAAGAACAUAUGUGUAAGUAACUGUGCACAUCUUGACGGUACCUAAUCAGAAAGCAACGGCUAACUACGUG
Molecule: ribosomal RNA, 497 nt
Filed under: uncultured bacterium
Lineage: Bacteria
Description: partial 16S ribosomal RNA
Rfam family: Bacterial small subunit ribosomal RNA
Source: RNAcentral